UACAGAGGUGGCAAGCGUUGUUCGGAAUUACUGGGCGUAAAGGGCGCGUAGGCGGUCUUGUCAGUCCCUUGUGAAAUCCCCCGGCUCAACCGAGGAACUGCAUCCGAUACUGGCGGGCUUGAAUCCGGGAGAGGGAUGUGGAAUUCCAGGUGUAGCGGUGAAAUGCGUAGAUAUCUGGAGGAACACCGGUGGCGAAGGCGGCAUCCUGGACCGGUAUUGACGCUGAGGCGCGAAGGCGUGGGGAGCGAACGGG
This 253-nucleotide ribosomal RNA is filed under the name uncultured bacterium. RNAcentral's name for it is "partial 16S ribosomal RNA". It matches the Rfam family "Bacterial small subunit ribosomal RNA", at positions 524 to 776 of the family's 1533-position model. The record is from RNAcentral.